Molecule: ribosomal RNA, 440 nt
Filed under: uncultured Lactococcus sp.
Lineage: Bacteria; Bacillati; Bacillota; Bacilli; Lactobacillales; Streptococcaceae
Description: bacterial SSU rRNA
Rfam family: Bacterial small subunit ribosomal RNA
Source: RNAcentral
GGAAUCUUCGGCAAUGGACGAAAGUCUGACCGAGCAACGCCGCGUGAGUGAAGAAGGUUUUCGGAUCGUAAAACUCUGUUGUUAGAGAAGAACGUUGUGUAGAGUGGAAAAUUACACAAGUGACGGUAUCUAACCAGAAAGGGACGGCUAACUACGUGCCAGCAGCCGCGGUAAUACGUAGGUCCCGAGCGUUGUCCGGAUUUAUUGGGCGUAAAGCGAGCGCAGGUGGUUUAAUAAGUCUGAUGUAAAAGGCAGUGGCUCAACCAUUGUGUGCAUUGGAAACUGUUAGACUUGAGUGCAGUAGAGGAGAGUGGAAUUCCAUGUGUAGCGGUGAAAUGCGUAGAUAUAUGGAGGAACACCGGUGGCGAAAGCGGCUCUCUGGACUGUAACUGACACUGAGGCUCGAAAGCGUGGGUAGCAAACAGGAUUAGAUACCCUAG